This 486-nucleotide ribosomal RNA is filed under the name uncultured bacterium. RNAcentral describes it as "partial 16S ribosomal RNA". It matches the Rfam family "Bacterial small subunit ribosomal RNA", at positions 28 to 507 of the family's 1533-position model. The record is from RNAcentral.
GACGAACGCUGGCGGCGUGCUUAACACAUGCAAGUCGAACGCUGAAGGCCUGGCUUUUGUUGGGUUGGAUGAGUGGCGAACGGGUGAGUAACACGUGAGUAACCUGCCCUCUUCUUUGGGAUAACGCCCGGAAACGGGUGCUAAUACUGGAUAUUCACUGAUCUUCGCAUGGGGGUUGGUGGAAAGGUUUGUUCUGGUGGGGGAUGGGCUCGCGGCCUAUCAGCUUGUUGGUGGGGUGAUGGCCUACCAAGGCUUUGACGGGUAGCCGGCCUGAGAGGGUGACCGGUCACAUUGGGACUGAGAUACGGCCCAGACUCCUACGGGAGGCAGCAGUGGGGAAUAUUGCACAAUGGGCGAAAGCCUGAUGCAGCGACGCCGCGUGAGGGAUGGAGGCCUUCGGGGUGUAAACCUCUUUCGCUCAUGGUCAAGCCGCAACUGUGGGUUGUGGUGAGGGUAGUGGGUAAAGAAGCGCCGGCUAACUACGUG